RNAcentral lists this transfer RNA (59 nucleotides) under Nephroselmis pyriformis. RNAcentral's name for it is "partial tRNA". It matches the Rfam family "tRNA", at positions 12 to 65 of the family's 71-position model. From Rfam's summary of the family: Transfer RNA (tRNA) molecules are approximately 80 nucleotides in length. Their secondary structure includes four short double-helical elements and three loops (D, anti-codon, and T loops). The record is from RNAcentral. Lineage: Eukaryota; Viridiplantae; Chlorophyta; Nephroselmidophyceae; Nephroselmidales; Nephroselmidaceae.
CCAAUUGGUAGAACAGCGGUCUCCAAAACCGAUGGCUGGGGGUUCGAGUCCCUCCACCC